UACGUAGGGGGCAAGCGUUGUCCGGAUUUAUUGGGCGUAAAGAGCGUGUAGGCGGCCAGGUAGGUCGGUUGUGAAAACUGGAGGCUCAACCUUCAGACGUCGACCGAAACCAUCUGGCUAGAGUCCGGGAGAGGAGAGUGGAAUUCCUGGUGUAGCGGUGAAAUGCGCAGAUAUCAGGAAGAACACCCGUGGCGAAAGCGGCUCUCUGGAACGGUACUGACGCUGAGACGCGAAAGCGUGGGGGGCGAACAGG
This 253-nucleotide ribosomal RNA is filed under the name uncultured bacterium. Its description in RNAcentral is "partial 16S ribosomal RNA". It matches the Rfam family "Bacterial small subunit ribosomal RNA", at positions 524 to 776 of the family's 1533-position model. The record is from RNAcentral.